CCUGUUUAUCCAGGAAGUGCCGCUCAGAAGGCUUUCCAGGGAGUCGCGCUCCACGCUCAGCCUCGGGGCGAGAAGGCCGGGGCUCCGGGGGCAGAGCGGAGAGGAGGGUGUGAGUGUCGAGACUGUAUAUUGCUGCAAACUCAGAACAAAAACAAAACAAACAAUUUGCUAUGUGAUCAUUUGCUUUACUAUCUUCAAGCAAGUAGUAGUGGAGGCCAAAAGUUUAAGAAAAUUAUAUGUGAGACAAAGAAAAUUGAGAAAUUCUACCUAACUGAAAUUCUUCUUUCAAUUAUCAAAAGUCCAGAUCAUUCCAUUUUAAUAGCAGAACACUUGGUGCAGCCUGUGGACACAGACUGGGAACCGGUGCUUGCUCCAAGAUGUAGACCUAAAAAUAUUCUGUCAGUGAGGCAGGGCAUGUGGUAAGGCUAUCCUCUCCUCAGAGCAGGUGGGGUACCUGGUAAGUCCCUCGAGGAGGGACUAUCUCAUCCCGGCUCCACAGUUUCCAGCUGAGUGACCUCUGGCAAGAGAUCUUGACAUCUCCACCUUAGAGGGGGUGCUGCACAGAUUCAAUGAGCAAAUGGAGGUUUGUUUCUGAGAGCGGGGCCUGGCAUCCAGAAAGUGAUUAUUAAAUAUUCCCUCGUGACAUUAUCUCCUAAUGCCAUGGAGGACACCAAGAUGGAACUUUGAAAACAGGAUUCAGAGAAACGGACUUUGGCCCAGUGGUUAGGGUGUCCGUCUACCAUAUGGGAGGUCCACGGUUCAAACCCCGGGCCUCCUUGACCCAUGUGGAGCUGGCCAUGCGCAGUGCUGAUGCGCGCAAGGAGUGCCGUGCCACGCAAGGGUGUCCCCCGCGUGAGAGCCCCAUGCGCAAGGAGUGCGCCUGUGAGGAGAGCAGCCCAGUGUGAAAAGAAAGAGCAGCCUGCCCAGGAAUGGCGCCGCCCACACUUCCCGUGCCGCUGACGACAACAGAAGCGGACAAAGAAACAAGACGCAGCAAAUAGACACCAAGAACAGACAACCAGGGGAGGGGGGGAAAUUAAAUAAAUAAAUAAAUCUUUAAAAAAAAAAAGAAAACAGGAUUCAUUAUUUCAUAUAUUUAUCCGUGCCUUCCCGGGGAGCGCCUUCAGGGGCCAUCCUCUACUCAGGUCCACCCUGCGACUCCUAAGUACAAUAAAGACAGGGUAUUCCCGGAGCAUGUCAGUUCUGAGAAGUCUAUUUUAAAAAGUGGCCUCUCCCAGGAAAGUGGCAUUUACACCACCUCAGUAAUACCGACCUGAAGAGCAGACUCAUUUAAGUAGUUUGAGGCCCUAGAAAGUACCUGGCAGCACAGC
RNAcentral lists this long non-coding RNA (1331 nucleotides) under Dasypus novemcinctus (nine-banded armadillo). Its description in RNAcentral is "lncRNA (ENSDNOG00000052941.1)". The record is from RNAcentral. Lineage: Eukaryota; Metazoa; Chordata; Mammalia; Cingulata; Dasypodidae.